CAUAUCAAAAACUUUUAUAACGAUGGAGCCAGAGCCAAAGCCUCAGUUUUAAAACAAUGACUUUGGAGCCAGAGCUGGAGUCACAGCUGAAAUAUACUGUGGCUCUGGAGCUAGUGCCGGAGCCUAACCUAUUUCAAGCCAGCUCCCCAGCCCUGGUUGGUGAAGGGGAGAACAAUGUUUAGGACAUUUAUCCCAACCCAACACGUAUAUUUAUAAUUAAACAAGAUUUAAUUCAAUUGGGGACAAGAGUCCAUGGGCUGGACUUCAUAUAAUCGUGUGUCAUAUUGCGAAUGUCUCUCUCUCUCUCUCUCCCUUGCAUUCGUUUUUGUUCUCCCUUCUAAUAAAAAAAAAAUGUUAACAAAAAAACAGGAAUUUGGAGGUGAGGAGGGACACACCACAUCCAGUCCGGAUUCCUGUCCCUCAUACAGCUUUAAAGAAAAUAAAGUGAUAUCUGUGUUAAAAAUAAUAAUAAUAAAUAAAGCAUAUAUGUGAUUAUGAUAUCCUGAUUGAUUGCAAUAUGCCAAUACAAGAAAAUGUGAGGGAAACAUGUUUUAUUUAGACAAUCUCAUUCAAUCAUGUAAAUAAUAAUUUAAUUUGCAUUGUUUCUUUCUCCC
Molecule: long non-coding RNA, 614 nt
Filed under: Androctonus crassicauda
Lineage: Eukaryota; Metazoa; Arthropoda; Arachnida; Scorpiones; Buthidae
Source: RNAcentral